Planococcus citri (citrus mealybug) is the source of this 328-nucleotide long non-coding RNA. RefSeq lists it as uncharacterized. The transcript has 3 exons. NCBI's taxonomy places the organism in Eukaryota, Metazoa, Arthropoda, Insecta, Hemiptera, Pseudococcidae. The record is from RefSeq and is a predicted model, not a curated record.
ACAGAACCAGUUCGUACUAUAGUCACGUGGCGAAUCAGAUAGGCACAGAAACAAGAUUCGUUUCAACUUAUCUACGACAACGUAUUUACCCGAAAUUUGCACAUGGGGUGACGAAAUCAGGUUCGUUGACUGAACGAUGAAAAAAAGGAAAAUUUUAUUGGAAAUAGAGGAAAAGCUCGAGAUUUUAGCAAUCUGAUUGCAGUCCAUUAUGUUUGAUUGAAUCAAUUGGAAAAUCCUGUACAUCGACUCCCUGACAGAACGCAAAUCAUUUCGGAAUACACGGUCUUUCGCGAACGAUUUUUUCAGAAAAUGAAACAGAACGUAAACC